This 109-nucleotide transfer RNA is filed under the name Collariella sp. IMI 366227. RNAcentral's name for it is "tRNA-Arg". It matches the Rfam family "tRNA". Rfam says of the family: Transfer RNA (tRNA) molecules are approximately 80 nucleotides in length. Their secondary structure includes four short double-helical elements and three loops (D, anti-codon, and T loops). Lineage: Eukaryota; Fungi; Ascomycota; Sordariomycetes; Sordariales; Chaetomiaceae. The record is from RNAcentral.
GGUCCGCUGGCUCAAUGGCAGAGCGUCUGACUACGACUCAUCUAAAGAUCAUCAGAUCCCAAGAGCUCAAGUAAUCAGGAGGUUCCAGGUUCGACCCCUGGGUGGAUCG